Molecule: non-coding RNA, 737 nt
Organism: Labrus bergylta (ballan wrasse)
Lineage: Eukaryota; Metazoa; Chordata; Actinopteri; Labriformes; Labridae
Source: RefSeq, a predicted model, not a curated record
CACAAAAAACCAAAUCAGUACAUUAAAUUUACUUUUUUUUUAAGCUAAACACUGAAGCUACUUCUGCAUAUUUCUAAUGAAGCACAAGAAUCCAACUGACUGCAGUUGCUCACACUGCUGAAAUCAUGUCUCACUGUUUAAGUUUCACAGUUGUACUGUGAGUAUCUGUAACUUAAGAAAUCAACAGGAGACACUGUGGUGCAGUGUCUGGUAAAAUUAUUACAUUCAUGUACGAAUGAACACAAUACUUUUCUGCAGGAUUGUUCUCUCAUUCCUUAUCUGCAGCUGCAGUAUCCUGUUUUACCACUUCAACUUCAUCAUCACACCUCAUUAUAUUGGACCGCCUGCACUUGACGCUUUUGUGAAUAAGAAUGGUCAAAAGAUGUUUCACAUGCCCUUUCUGUGACACGCUGAGAGCCUGAAGCAGAACGCCUGAGUUAACAGACAAAGUUCAUAAUCAGCUCAUGCUAUCAGAUAUCUUUAUCUGCAGCUUCUGGCUUUGCUGAACCAGCUUUCUUAAAGAAAACCUGGAUAUGUUGAACUUGCUUCAGAUACAACAAAUGACCCAAUUUACUGAUCAAUAACCUAAACAACUAAAUACCGCCACCUAGUGUCUAAAGCUCACUGACUUGAAGAGAGAGGACACUUGGCUUUAAUGUACGAGACACACAAGUCCCAGAUUGAAUCACUCUAUCAGAAGAUGCUCUCAGAUUCAGAUCCAUCAGCAACCCCUGACA